AGCGAACGCUGGCGGCAGGCCUAACACAUGCAAGUCGAACGAACCUUUCGGGGUUAGUGGCGGACGGGUGAGUAACACGUGGGAACGUGCCUUUAGGUUCGGAAUAACUCAGGGAAACUUGUGCUAAUACCGGAUGUGCCCUUCGGGGGAAAGAUUAAUCGCCUUUAGAGCGGCCCGCGUUUGAUUAGCUAGUUGGUUGAGGUAAUGGCUCACCAGGGCGACGAUCAGUAGCUGGUCUGAGAGGAUGAUCAGCCACAUUGGGACUGAGACACGGCCCAAACUCCUACGGGAGGCAGCAGUGGGGAAUCUUGCGCAAUGGGCGAAAGCCUGACGCAGCCAUGCCGCGUGAAUGAUGAAGGUCUUAGGAUUGUAAAAUUCUUUCACCGGGGACGAUAAUGACGGUACCCGGAGAAGAAGCCCCGGCUAACUUCGUG
RNAcentral lists this ribosomal RNA (434 nucleotides) under uncultured bacterium. RNAcentral's name for it is "partial 16S ribosomal RNA". It matches the Rfam family "Bacterial small subunit ribosomal RNA", at positions 29 to 507 of the family's 1533-position model. The record is from RNAcentral.